UGGCUCAGUUGGUAGAGCAUGGUGUUUGCAACGCCAGGGUUGUGGGUUAGAUUCCCAU
Molecule: non-coding RNA, 58 nt
Organism: Salmo salar (Atlantic salmon)
Lineage: Eukaryota; Metazoa; Chordata; Actinopteri; Salmoniformes; Salmonidae
Source: Rfam